Molecule: non-coding RNA, 210 nt
Organism: Pelobates cultripes (western spadefoot toad)
Lineage: Eukaryota; Metazoa; Chordata; Amphibia; Anura; Pelobatidae
Source: the annotation of a GenBank genome assembly
UAAAAAUUAAAAAAGAAUGUAAAGGAAAAUACACUAAAUGAGAGAAGAAGGAGACAAAGACAAAAUAGAAGUUAGAGAAGGGGAAGAAUAGAUUGCUGAAUAAAGAGGAGUCAAGUGCUAAGCAGAGGAGUAUGAAAGAUAAUAGGUGAGAGGAGACUGAAUGGAGGAAGAUUGAAGGCUUUUGAAAGGAAAAUGAAUACAGAGAAGAGA